GCACAAGCGGUGGAGCAUGUGGUUUAAUUCGACGCGACGCGAAGAACCUUACCUGGGCUUGACAUGUGAGUGACAGGUGUGGAAACACACUCUCCCUUCGGGGCACUUUCACAGGUGGUGCAUGGCUGUCGUCAGCUCGUGUCGUGAGAUGUUGGGUUAAGUCCCGCAACGAGCGCAACCCCCGUCGCAUGUUGCCAGCAUUUAGUUGGGGACUCAUGCGAGACUGCCGGUGACAAACCGGAGGAAGGUGGGGAUGACGUCAAGUCCUCAUGCCCCUUAUGUCCAGGGCUACACACGUGCUACAUUGGCGCGUACAGAGGGCUGCGAUACCGCGAGGUGGAGCGAAUCCCUUAAAGCGCGUCUCGGUUCGGAUUGCAGGCUGAAAUUCGCCUGCAUGAAGGCGGAGUUGCUAGUAAUCGCGGAUCAGCACUGCCGCGGUGAAUACGUUCCCGGGC
RNAcentral lists this ribosomal RNA (455 nucleotides) under uncultured bacterium. RNAcentral's name for it is "bacterial SSU rRNA". It matches the Rfam family "Bacterial small subunit ribosomal RNA", at positions 923 to 1379 of the family's 1533-position model. The record is from RNAcentral.